Ictidomys tridecemlineatus (thirteen-lined ground squirrel) is the source of this 1819-nucleotide non-coding RNA. Lineage: Eukaryota; Metazoa; Chordata; Mammalia; Rodentia; Sciuridae. The record is from RefSeq and is a predicted model, not a curated record.
GUAAGAGGAAGUCCUAGGCUUCAAGGGAGUCUGGGUUCCUUGGAAACAUCAGGGCACAGCACAUGAGUCAAUUCCUCCAGAAAGAGAAAAACCUGCUAGAGAAGUAAGGAGGCCAAAGCAUGAAAGAUAAACACAUAAGCACAAGUGAAGGCCUGCAGGAACACCACGGGAACAGGCAAGUGAGUACUUGCUUUGUUUGUUUACCAUUCAGGAGCAAAGCCAGUUAGGGAACAUGUUGACACAAUAAUAUGUAGUGGCAAAGGCUGAUAAAAUAUUAUUGUAUGCAUGUAUAUAAUAAGAAAACAUAGAACGAAUUAGAGAGAAAGUUAAGAAUGCAGGGGUAUGGAAUGUGUAUUGCCAUAUACAAGUGUGAUGUCACACACACUAGAUAUGUGACAUCACACAUAUAUGGGACAGCAUUCAUAAAGAGGCCCUAAUGCAAAUAAUUUCAUGGAAUUAAGUGGAGAUUUAAAAAAGAGAAAGAGGAAGUAAAGAGGAAGACAGGACAAAUGUAGAUGUUAUUUUUUUUUCCCAAGAGGACUUACAUUUUCCAUCCUAUAUGUUUUUAACACUCCUUCUUAAGAGAUGGAGACUAUUUUUCUUCCACUUUUAUCUAGAAGGAUCUGUGUCUAUGGUAAAAGGAAUUUAUGAUGUGAUUCCCUAAUGUAGGUCAUAAAAAAUGAUAGUUUUGAUCUGGCUCUCUUUGGUCACUGCUAUGGGGCUCUGAGCUGCCAUAGUGGUUUUAGGUCACCAUGCUGUGAGCAACCCUACGUCAAAUGUGGAUUAUCCAGUUAUCAGCUCCAGCUGAGGUGCCUGCCAACAGUCAGCACCAGCUGUCAGAUGUGUGAAUAAAGAUGUGUACAGAAGAUUCCCUCUCCAAGCCUUCAGGUUCCUCCAGCUGACACUUCAGCCAUCAUGAAGCAGAAACGAAGGGUGGCCUAGAGAAGAGAAUUGCUGAGACACUGUGUGCACUGCAAAUAGAAAAGGUUUGAACUCCCUGAAUUAGCCUGUUUAAUCUUCAUAUCAACCAAAGGAGCUGUACACAACAUCAGAGGCAGAGAUUGGGGAGACAGGAAAAGAAGAGGCUUUUGUUUCUUUCUACCACUCAUCUGGGUAUCAGACACUAAUCAUGGUAAACAGGGAAGUCACCACCACCAGAAUAGGAUCUGCCCCCAGGACCUCCCCACAAUGCCUCCUGAGAAGGCCUUCCAACAAAGAGUAGAAGAUGUGAGAUUCGUCCAAGAGCAGAUUCCAUUCAGAUCCCAAUCCCUAUGAUAACAGAACAACACAAGGUGAGAGGCAGCUGCCCAUCCUGGAUAAAACCAAGUUCCUGGUAUUUGACCAUAUCAACAUGGGCAAGCUCAUCAGGAUAACUAGAAGGUGCUUACAGCUCAAUGUUCAUCAAGGCUUCUUCCUUUUGGUAAACCAAGAAACAUGGUGAGUGUGUCCUUGCCCAUCUCCAAGGGGCACGAGAGUGAGAAGGAUGAAGCUGGAUUCUUCCUGUGUGUGGUGUAUAACUCCCAGAAGAUGUUCAGAAUGAAGUUGUUGGAAUUAAGAAUAGAACAAUGCAUCUUAAGUUUUGAAUGUCCUUAUUAAGGGAAAAAAGAGAUUCUAACAACUGGACUGAUCAGUUCAUCAGUAACAUGUCAUCAGAACACUUGUGUUUCACCUAGGAAUUUUAGGAGUUUGUUUUUGUAUUUAGAGCAGAAAAACUGAGGUCCAAGUGAGCACACCCAGCUUUGGGAACCUGUAUUAUUUAACAUAAGCAUAUUGUUUUCAAAUUUUAGAAGUUUAAAAAUAAAAUACUUUGCAUCCUAAA